UGGCCUUUGGGGGGUGCUAUACUGCAAGUCGAGCGAAUGGAUUAAGAGCUUGCUCUUAUGAAGUUAGCGGCGGACGGGUGAGUAACACGUGGGUAACCUGCCCAUAAGACUGGGAUAACUCCGGGAAACCGGGGCUAAUACCGGAUAACAUUUUGAACCGCAUGGUUCGAAAUUGAAAGGCGGCUUCGGCUGUCACUUAUGGAUGGACCCGCGUCGCAUUAGCUAGUUGGUGAGGUAACGGCUCACCAAGGCAACGAUGCGUAGCCGACCUGAGAGGGUGAUCGGCCACACUGGGACUGAGACACGGCCCAGACUCCUACGGGAGGCAGCAGUAGGGAAUCUUCCGCAAUGGACGAAAGUCUGACGGAGCAACGCCGCGUGAGUGAUGAAGGCUUUCGGGUCGUAAAACUCUGUUGUUAGGGAAGAACAAGUGCUAGUUGAAUAAGCUGGCACCUUGACGGUACCUAACCAGAAAGCCACGGCUAACUACGUGCCAGCAGCCGCGGUAAUACGUAGGUGGCAAGCGUUAUCCGGAAUUAUUGGGCGUAAAGCGCGCGCAGGUGGUUUCUUAAGUCUGAUGUGAAAGCCCACGGCUCAACCGUGGAGGGUCAUUGGAAACUGGGAGACUUGAGUGCAGAAGAGGAAAGUGGAAUUCCAUGUGUAGCGGUGAAAUGCGUAGAGAUAUGGAGGAACACCAGUGGCGAAGGCGACUUUCUGGUCUGUAACUGACACUGAGGCGCGAAAGCGUGGGGAGCAAACAGGAUUAGAUACCCUGGUAGUCCACGCCGUAAACGAUGAGUGCUAAGUGUUAGAGGGUUUCCGCCCUUUAGUGCUGAAGUUAACGCAUUAAGCACUCCGCCUGGGGAGUACGGCCGCAAGGCUGAAACUCAAAGGAAUUGACGGGGGCCCGCACAAGCGGUUGGAGCAUGUGGUUUUAAUUCGAAGCAACGCGAAGAACCUUACCAGGUCUUGACAUCCUCUGAAAACCCCUAGGAGAUAGGGGCUUCUUCCUUUCGGAAGCAGAGUGACACGCUGGCUGCAUGGUUUGUUCGUCAGCUCGUUGUCGGUGAGAAUUGUUGAGUUUAAGUCCUCCGCAACGAGCGCAAACCCUUGGAUCUUAGCUGCCCAUUCAUUAAAGUUGGGCACCUCUCUAAGCGUGAACUGCCGGUGAACAAUCCGAGAAGUGUGCUAGUACGCUCAAAAUCACUCAUACGCUCCCUUUAUGC
Molecule: ribosomal RNA, 1226 nt
Filed under: Bacillus cereus
Lineage: Bacteria; Bacillati; Bacillota; Bacilli; Caryophanales; Bacillaceae
Description: bacterial SSU rRNA
Rfam family: Bacterial small subunit ribosomal RNA
Source: RNAcentral